RNAcentral lists this ribosomal RNA (253 nucleotides) under uncultured bacterium. Its description in RNAcentral is "partial 16S ribosomal RNA". It matches the Rfam family "Bacterial small subunit ribosomal RNA", at positions 524 to 776 of the family's 1533-position model. The record is from RNAcentral.
UACAGAGGUCCCAAGCGUUGUUCGGAUUCACUGGGCGUAAAGGGUGCGUAGGUGGUGAUGUAAGUCGGGUGUGAAAUCUCCGGGCUCAACCCGGAGGCUGCGCUCGAAACUGUAUCGCUAGAGGGUGGGAUGGGAGACUGGAAUUCUCGGUGUAGCAGUGAAAUGCGUAGAUAUCGAGAGGAACACCGGUGGCGAAGGCGAGUCUCUGGACCACUCCUGACACUGAGGCACGAAAGCCGGGGGAGCAAACAGG